GACAGAGGGGGCAAGCGUUGCUCGGAAUUACUGGGCGUAAAGGGCGCGCAGGCGGUUCUGUUUGUCGAGUGUGAAAGCCCCGGGCUCAACCUGGGAACUGCGCUCGAAACGGCGGAACUAGAGUUCGGGAGAGGAGAGUGGAAUUCCCAGUGUAGAGGUGAAAUUCGUAGAUAUUGGGAAGAACACCGGUGGCGAAGGCGGCUCUCUGGACCGAUACUGACGCUGAGGCGCGAAGGUCAGGGGAGCAAACGGG
RNAcentral lists this ribosomal RNA (253 nucleotides) under uncultured bacterium. RNAcentral describes it as "partial 16S ribosomal RNA". It matches the Rfam family "Bacterial small subunit ribosomal RNA", at positions 524 to 776 of the family's 1533-position model. The record is from RNAcentral.